This 74-nucleotide transfer RNA is filed under the name Bacillus cereus. RNAcentral's name for it is "tRNA-Val". The record is from RNAcentral. Lineage: Bacteria; Bacillati; Bacillota; Bacilli; Caryophanales; Bacillaceae.
GACCCCGUAGCUCAGCAGGGAGAGCGCCACCUUGACAGGGCGGAGGUUUUGAGUUCGAAACUCCUCUGGGGUCA